GACGAACCGUACGAACGUUAUUCGGAAUCACUGGGCUUAAAGGGUGCGUAGGCGGCCAUUCAAGUCAGGGGUGAAAGCCUGUGGCUCAACCACAGAAUUGCCUUUGAUACUGUUUGGCUGGAGACCGGAAGAGGUAAGUGGAACUGCGAGUGUAGAGGUGAAAUUCGUAGAUAUUCGCAAGAACACCAGUGGCGAAGGCGGCUUACUGGUCUGGUUCUGACGCUGAGGCGCGAAAGCGUGGGGAGCAAACAGG
Molecule: ribosomal RNA, 253 nt
Filed under: uncultured bacterium
Lineage: Bacteria
Description: partial 16S ribosomal RNA
Rfam family: Bacterial small subunit ribosomal RNA
Source: RNAcentral